This 56-nucleotide transfer RNA is filed under the name Oesophagostomum dentatum (nodular worm). It matches the Rfam family "tRNA", at positions 10 to 63 of the family's 71-position model. From Rfam's summary of the family: Transfer RNA (tRNA) molecules are approximately 80 nucleotides in length. Their secondary structure includes four short double-helical elements and three loops (D, anti-codon, and T loops). The record is from Rfam by way of RNAcentral. Lineage: Eukaryota; Metazoa; Nematoda; Chromadorea; Rhabditida; Strongylidae.
GCCUAAAGGAUAAGGCGCCGGAUUCCGGAUCCGGAGAUUGCAGGUUCGAGUCCUGC